This 903-nucleotide long non-coding RNA is filed under the name Homo sapiens (human). RNAcentral's name for it is "GNB1 divergent transcript (GNB1-DT)". The record is from RNAcentral. Lineage: Eukaryota; Metazoa; Chordata; Mammalia; Primates; Hominidae.
GUGCGCGUCCAAACCGCAUCGGGCCCCGAGCGCGUGUCCGAGCGGCUUAAAGGGGCCGUGCUGCUGCCUUCGGGUACCGCUGCCCCGGGAGACCCCCGGCGGCCCGGCCCUGCGGGGACCGGGCGGGAUGGGGACCGGGGCAGUGGACCCUCGGAGUUGGGAUGGGGCGGGGGGAACGCGGGCGUGGAGCCCUCCGGGGACAGGCCAGCGCCCUGCUCCCCGGUCCUCAACCACCACCUUCCACCUGCCUGGGCCUUCAUCGCCUCCGAGCUCCCCUUCCACACCAAACCUGGCGUCCGUUUUCCUCCAGGCCUGCACCAGCACAGCUGAAGGGGAGAGAGACCCAACCUCAUCCACUGGGCCUCCCCUCAACCAGGGCCACAACCUCAAGGGGCCAUGCCACCUCCAACACCUAUUUCCCACCUUCUACUCUCUCCACACCCUGGGACACCACCCGCCUCUCUCAGCUGACGUUUUCCUUCUUGUUUUGUGUGCAUGGUGCUUGUGUGAGAAAGUGGACACACAGUAAGUGCGGCUUCCAGAUGCGUCCGCCACCUGCCCUCCGUGCCACGCGCUUCCCCCUACCUAGGGGAGCCUCCACCAGACAGGGAACCCACGCCUUGCCACCCUUCUCUCUCCCUCCCACUUCACCUGUCCGCAUCAUUUCUGGAGCCCUUUCUUUCUGGCACGAGAUGCUCCAGGGCCCUGUUGUAUUCUCCCUGCCCCAGCCUGAACCCAGCUAUUUCUGCUGCAGCCUGGUUCAUUGUGGGAGAAUGUCAUGCAGAGCCCGGGAUCUGGCUCCGGAUGUGCUCAUUGCUACUGGGGUGUCAUUGCAGCUGGCGGAGCAAGGGAACACAUCUAUGUACAUGCCCACACGCAUAUGUAUACACACAGUUUCAUGGG